This 305-nucleotide long non-coding RNA is filed under the name Jatropha curcas. RNAcentral describes it as "long non-coding RNA (JCUR_LNC001105)". The record is from RNAcentral. Lineage: Eukaryota; Viridiplantae; Streptophyta; Magnoliopsida; Malpighiales; Euphorbiaceae.
CUCAAUUAUGUUCUCUCUAUAUUCUUUUCUCCAAACAAGGUUAAUAGCUCAUUGAAUUCCUUAACAUCUUAGUUUUAAUGUACCAGUCCUCAAAUGCACCUAACUAAUUAAAUAUUCCCUUAAACCAUUAGAUAUGUCGCAACUACCAUUUAUAACACAAUUCUAUUCAUUCAAUCAUAAUUGCUACCAAUUGCUAAGGAAUUCAGAGUAGGUUUACAUUGACUCUACAUUAUGUAUCAAUAAUUUUCACUCUAAUUGGUACCUCAAUAGUCCCAUGAGCAAUUUGAAUUGAUUAGUGAUCUAAU